This 1301-nucleotide long non-coding RNA is filed under the name Homo sapiens (human). RNAcentral's name for it is "novel transcript". Lineage: Eukaryota; Metazoa; Chordata; Mammalia; Primates; Hominidae. The record is from RNAcentral.
ACACGCUGUUUUUCAGAGGCGUCAACAAGUGCUUUUUCCCCUUCUCUGAGGGAGCCAGAAGUGUGUCUGGUAGGAACCGUGGCUGGGAACCCCAGGUAAAGGUCUACCAAGGCGCAGUGCCAGUGGACAGAGAUUAGGUGUACUCCUGAGAGUGGAAGCACAGCCAUUUGUCACGCCUUUCAAGAUACAGAACAGCAAGACAGGAGGCUCUCCAGCAGAGAGGACUGCAGGCUUUUGCAGGACAGAAAAUCUCAGAUAUGGAAACUGAGCCCUCACACAUGGACUGAAUUCUGACAAGCAGAGGAUAAAGGCAGAACAACAUGACUGAAGGCGAUGAGGAACAGCUGAUCACCUGUGGAAGUCAUUUGUCCUAAAUUGUCAUGGACAGACCAUGUGCCUUACAGCAAGAAAAUUCUGUGAAUAAACAGGAAGCCAGCCAGCCAGGGAAGAUGCUUUUGUGAUAUAUCCCAGCAUGCUGAUGACCCCAAGGAGGACCACUGGAUACCUAGCAAGGAGCUGGCUGCAGCAUACCAUGAAUCCUCACAGCAACUUAAUGAGAUUCUCCCAUUGAGAAGCAUUUCUGUGAGCUCUGGAAGUCAGGUGAAAAGGAGAAGUCAUAAUCUAUGGCAGCAGCUAUGGGAAGGAAAAAGAAGAACUGAUUGAAGAGUGGCAACCAGAACCUCUUGUUCCUCCUGUCCCAAAAGACCAUCCUGCUCUCAACUACAACAUCGUUUCAGGGCAAUAUGAUAAAAUUGAAAAAUUUCACAAAUGUCAGGAGAACAAGAUCUGGUGUCUGGGUUUCAACUCUUAGAGCUUCCCAGCUCGUAGCUAUGCUCCUGAAUUCCUCUGGCAGCCCUCCUCAAGGACCUCUGUGAGACAAAGUCAGAAAUGACUUCACUGGAGACCAAGAGAGCCCACAGAGCUCUUCCUGCUGCUUCUUCUACCCUUGUACUCACUCGGCUCUCUAAAUUUGUCUCAGCUCCAGACACGUGGGAAGAUUACCUUUCUCUGAUGUCUUGGGAUUGAACUGAGCUAUGUGGCUAGUUACAGGCCAAUAGGCUGUUAGCAGAUGUGACAUCUAACACAACUAGGCUGCAGUUUGAAAUAAAUACCAGUGCACAGCCUCCAGAAUUCCUCCCCUGCUAAGGUGACUGAGAAGACCUCAGCUGAGAUGGUGGGAAAAAAAAAUAUUCAAGCAGCUUGGAUAACGAAGUUCCUAAAUGGAAGAACAUUGUCCCAGAGAGUCACUUGAACCCAGAAUAGAUUUACGUGAUCAGACAAUAAACCUCUAUGACACCCUG